Cinara cedri is the source of this 535-nucleotide non-coding RNA. NCBI's taxonomy places the organism in Eukaryota, Metazoa, Arthropoda, Insecta, Hemiptera, Aphididae. The record is from the annotation of a GenBank genome assembly.
UAUAUAUGUCAUAUUAUGGUAAAAUAAUUAAAUAGGCAUUAUAUAUUUUCUUUAAUAAUAAUUGUUUAAUAUUCUAUUGAUUUUUUAGUUUUUCUUGCGUUUUUCCAGGUUUUUCCGUGUUUUUUCCCAGAUUAUCAUAUUUGCUUAGAAAAUUCUUAGAAAAAUCGAAAAAUCACUUCCCAAAAGUACCUUCCCAGUGAGAUUUACUUUCAGAAAAAGUGCUAUCAUUGUAAAUCGGAGCAAAAUUGCUGGUAGAAAAGUUGUACAGAGUAAAAAAAAAGCCAUAAUAUUGUUUUACUAAUACCUACAUUUCGUAAAUUUUCCUUUUUCCGACAUUUUAUCCAGGUUUUUCUUAGUUAUUAUGAUAACCAAUUUAAAACUCACAAAAAUGACGUCCCUAAACCAUGGAGAUAAAAUUUCCUUUCAGAAAAUAAGCUACAUUUGAUACAUGAGAGCAAGAUUUCUGGUAGAAAAGUUUGCAAAACAAAUUGAGGGGUAUUUUUCGAUUAUAAUUGUCUGAGCGAGCAAUAGCUUU